This 73-nucleotide transfer RNA is filed under the name Chloroparvula sp. RCC4572. Its description in RNAcentral is "tRNA-Arg". It matches the Rfam family "tRNA". Rfam says of the family: Transfer RNA (tRNA) molecules are approximately 80 nucleotides in length. RNAcentral also lists the same sequence under 1 other name. Lineage: Eukaryota; Viridiplantae; Chlorophyta; Chloropicophyceae; Chloropicales; Chloropicaceae. The record is from RNAcentral.
GAGUGCAUAGCUCAGUGGACAGAGCACAUGGCUACGAACCAUGCGGUCGGGGGUUCGACUCCCUCUGCGCUCA